UACGUAGGGGGCGAGCGUUGUCCGGAAUUACUGGGCGUAAAGGGCGCGCAGGCGGCCGUGUAAGUCCGCUGUGAAAGACCGGGGCUCAACCCCGGGGUGUCAGCGGGGACUGCACGGCUGGAGUCCCGGAGAGGGAGGCGGAAUACCUGGUGUAGCGGUGGAAUGCGUAGAGAUCAGGUGGAACACCGAUGGCGAAGGCAGCCUCCUGGACGGGUACUGACGCUGAGGCGCGAAAGCGUGGGUAGCAAACAGG
This 253-nucleotide ribosomal RNA is filed under the name uncultured bacterium. Its description in RNAcentral is "partial 16S ribosomal RNA". It matches the Rfam family "Bacterial small subunit ribosomal RNA", at positions 524 to 776 of the family's 1533-position model. The record is from RNAcentral.